UACGGGGGGGGCAAGCGUUGUUCAGAAUUACUGGGCGUAAAGCGUGCGCAGGCGGCUUCGCAAGUCAGACGUGAAAUCCCCGGGCUUAACCUGGGAAUGGCGUUUGAAACUACGGAGCUGGAGUGUGGCAGAGGGAGGUAGAAUUCCACGUGUAGCGGUGAAAUGCGUAGAUAUGUGGAGGAACACCAAUGGCGAAGGCAGCUCGCUGGGACGGUACUGACGCUGAGGCGCGAAAGCGUGGGGAGCAAACAGG
This 253-nucleotide ribosomal RNA is filed under the name uncultured bacterium. RNAcentral's name for it is "partial 16S ribosomal RNA". It matches the Rfam family "Bacterial small subunit ribosomal RNA", at positions 524 to 776 of the family's 1533-position model. The record is from RNAcentral.